UACGUAGGGGACAAGCGUUGUCCGGAUUCAUUGGGCGUAAAGAGCUCGUAGGCGGUCUAGUAAGUUGGGUGUGAAAGCUCCGGGCUCAACCCGGAGAGGUCACCCAAAACUGCUAUGACUAGAGUCCAGUAGAGGAGCGUGGAAUUCCUGGUGUAGCGGUGAAAUGCGCAGAUAUCAGGAGGAACACCAGCAGCGAAGGC
RNAcentral lists this ribosomal RNA (200 nucleotides) under uncultured bacterium. RNAcentral's name for it is "partial 16S ribosomal RNA". It matches the Rfam family "Bacterial small subunit ribosomal RNA", at positions 524 to 722 of the family's 1533-position model. The record is from RNAcentral.